CUAUUAGGCAAAAUAGCAGCUUAAAACAUGUGAUCAUAUCCUUUGCCUGCUUAUUAAUCUCAUUACCCAGGGCAGAGCUUUAGCUCUUUAGCCUAACACAUAAGGCCCUGGCUUCAUGCCUCAUGUUCUCUGUGCUCCAAGUAGUUUUCCCCUCUUGUUUUCCUUGGUGACCUCUUACUCUUUUUUCAAGAUCCAGAUUAAAUGCCAUCUUCAAUGUGGCCCCUUCUCCCGGUCCCCAUUUAAACAAGCUUCUUUCUGUGGGACUCAUGAGAGAUAGUGUGACAUGCGGGGGGCGGGGGGCGGGUGGAGGAAAUAAAAAGCAAGGACAGCUCUGCAAUUUAACUUGGGCAAAUCAUUAACCUUCCUGAGAAUCCAUUUGCUAUAAUUUAGUGAUCUAGAAAAAAAGUACAACCUGGCUUAUGAAAAGGUAUAACGAUUUUCACCUGGGAAGAUUGCGAUGGUUAAAUAGAAAAUGGUAUGAAGAACCAGCAUAGUUCCCAGUACACAGAACGGUAUCAAUAAAUGUGUAGUUUCUUAUGCCCGGCACAAAAGAAAUAUGCAAAGAUUACAGAAUGAAGAAAUUCCCAUCUGUACCCAGAACACAGCUCUAAUGUUUUUUAUACUCAUAUUCCAAAUGAAUAGGAGAGGCCAGUAAUACUCCAGAGUGUCUACUUGCCUCUCUCUUCCUCUACAUUCCCUUUUCUCUCUCUUUAUCCUUAUUCACUCUCAAGCUUAAGUCACCAUGGAAACUGAAGUAGAAUACAAAUAACGCACGUAUCCUGUAUCUCACCUGCACCUCAAGGCCGUUCCCGAUAUGGUCUUAAACCCAGGAAACCGAAAGGAGAACUUCCGAACCCAAGUAUCAGAGGAAGAGAUGUUGAUGUAUUCAGACGGAAAUAGGACAGAUCCAUAGACACAGGGGUUCGGCUCCGACACGGCUGUCCUAACACAGACAGACCAAGGGCCCCGCGCUAUCGACGUCGCCCGGGGACCCGCAGGAGGAAGACUACUUGAGGUCUUCGAGUAUCUGUGCUCCUCAUCCUCUGUCCCUUAAUAUACAAAUUCAAGUCAUAACCAGGUCCCGUGUUCUCAGUCUCAAGGCAUAUGCCUCAUUUCAGACUUAAUCCAGGUGGGGGUGGCAUGCACCCUGGAGAGGAAAAAAAAAUUACUGAAAAUAACUGCUUUCACAGAAAUCUUUUGACUGGCUGGACAUAGAGGCACCCGAAACUAUUGCUUAAGAAAAGAUUUUUCUAAUUUCAAUAUAUCAAAUUAAAUAAAGAAAUUCAUGUGACCAACAUUUUCAGCACUUCUUAUACAUCAAGGACAUAGGGUGAGAAAGACGUUAUCCUCUUUGAAGGAAUAUAUGACUUAGGAAGACAGAGAAUAUGAAGAGAUCAUUUCAAUGCACUGUGGAGAUAGAUGAGGGAAACUUCUGCUUGGAGAGCAGCAGGAGACGAAGUAGGGAGUCAAGAACAACUUCCUGGGACAAGUGAUACUGAAAUUAAAUCCAGAAGAGUAACCUGGAGCACACCAGGGGGAGAAAGGGGCCAAGCCAAGAAAGGGGGUCUCCAGGCAAGGGAAGCAGCAAAGGCACAGACAGAACCAAAGGUGGUGCAGUGUUUCUGGAGCAGAAAGUCAGAGGUGGGAAACGGCAGACGAUGACUCCGGAAGAAACAGAUGAGGGGGGAACUGAUGUGCCAUGCGAAAGGAGAGGCAUAGCUUCUCUGAGAGAAGUCCGUUCACCACACAAAGGGCUAAACAUCACUGUUAUUUGGGAAGUCUAGAAGACUCCAGGAGGUUCCAUCUUCUACCAGCAAAGAUAGCAGGGACUGUGCUGAUCAUCUUUCCCACUUAGAGGUAGCAACAGCCCAAAGUGUAUGUAAGAGUCCCAGAGCCCAAACGGCCUGAGAUAGCAUAUGAUGCCACAGGGGAAGACUGAAACUGGAAGAUGAAAUUUGGGUGAUUGUAAUUGGUCUGAGUAGUAGAAAAUGGUGGGUAGACUGAGCCAGGGCGUCAUAGCCAGCCGCUCAACAUCGUCUUCCUUCCUCUGCAGGGAGUUGCUGAUGUCUGCUGGUUUGCUCUUGGUUGGUUGGCUUUGAAUUAGGAUAGAGGAUCAUUCUGAAAUUUCUGCUUGGACACCACUUCUGCACCUCAACAAAUAAAUACUU
This is a long non-coding RNA of Canis lupus familiaris (dog), 2168 nucleotides long. RefSeq lists it as uncharacterized. The record is from RefSeq and is a predicted model, not a curated record. Lineage: Eukaryota; Metazoa; Chordata; Mammalia; Carnivora; Canidae. The transcript is spliced from 3 exons.